GUCAACGGCGAGAGAGGAGCGGGGGUAGUAGGGGGGUGGCGUGCUGUGUUCGGAAUUACUGGGCGUAAGGGGCACGUAGGCGGUGUUGUAAGUUAGAGGGGAAAGCCCGGGGCUCAACUCCGGAAUUGCCUUUAAGACUGCAUCGCUAGAAUUGUGGAGAGGGAAGUGGAAUGCCGAGUGUAGAGGUGAAAUUCGUAGAUAUUCGGAAGAACACCAGUGGCGAAGGCGACUUACUGGACACAUAUUGACGCUGAGGUGCGAAAGCGUGGGGAGCAAACAGGAUUAGAUACCCCGGUAGUC
Molecule: ribosomal RNA, 300 nt
Filed under: uncultured Thermovibrio sp.
Lineage: Bacteria; Pseudomonadati; Aquificota; Aquificia; Desulfurobacteriales; Desulfurobacteriaceae
Description: bacterial SSU rRNA
Rfam family: Bacterial small subunit ribosomal RNA (bases 52-300)
Source: RNAcentral